UGAAUUUUAAGUUAAAAAAAACUAGAAAUCUUCCACAUUUCCAAUAAGAAAAUCUUAAAUUCAA
RNAcentral lists this transfer RNA (64 nucleotides) under Metacrangonyx panousei. RNAcentral describes it as "transfer RNA Glycine". The record is from RNAcentral. Lineage: Eukaryota; Metazoa; Arthropoda; Malacostraca; Amphipoda; Metacrangonyctidae.